AACGAACGCUGGCGGCAUGCCUAACACAUGCAAGUCGAACGAGACCUUCGGGUCUAGUGGCGCACGGGUGCGUAACGCGUGGGAACCUGCCCUUAGGUUCGGAAUAACUCCCCGAAAGGGGUGCUAAUACCGGAUAAUGUCUUCGGACCAAAGAUUUAUCGCCUUUGGAUGGGCCCGCGUUGGAUUAGCUAGUUGGUAGGGUAAAAGCCUACCAAGGCGACGAUCCAUAGCUGGUCUGAGAGGAUGAUCAGCCACACUGGGACUGAGACACGGCCCAGACUCCUACGGGGGGAGGGGGGGGGGAAUUUGGGAAAAUGGGGGAAGGCCUGAUCCAGCAGGGCCGGGUGAGUGAUGAAGGCUUUAGGGUUGUAAAGCUUUUUUCCCCGGGAUGAUAAUGCCGGUCCCGGGGAAAUAGGCCCGGGCUAACUCCGU
This 432-nucleotide ribosomal RNA is filed under the name uncultured bacterium. Its description in RNAcentral is "partial 16S ribosomal RNA". It matches the Rfam family "Bacterial small subunit ribosomal RNA", at positions 29 to 506 of the family's 1533-position model. The record is from RNAcentral.